Molecule: ribosomal RNA, 31 nt
Filed under: Phytophthora hibernalis
Lineage: Eukaryota; Oomycota; Peronosporomycetes; Peronosporales; Peronosporaceae
Description: partial 28S ribosomal RNA
Source: RNAcentral
UUGGACCUUGAUAUCAGGCAAGAUUACCCCG